This 2142-nucleotide long non-coding RNA is filed under the name Citrus maxima (pomelo). Its description in RNAcentral is "long non-coding RNA (CMAX_LNC002109)". Lineage: Eukaryota; Viridiplantae; Streptophyta; Magnoliopsida; Sapindales; Rutaceae. The record is from RNAcentral.
AAAUUAGUAUUGCCUUUGUAAAUUAAAAUUAUUUACGGAAAGGAUAGUUAUUUAUUAUUUUACUCCAUCCAUUUUGAAAAUCACAAAAGUAAAUUUCAUUAUCCAUUUAUUAUUCUACUGGAAUGUAAUUUCAAUCAGCCAAAUUCAUAUAAAACAAUAUAGAUAUAGAUUCAAGUAGAAACCAUAAGCCUUUCCUCAAGCUCUUUAACUCCAUAUUCCUUAGCUCCUCAUAUGUAGAAAUGGGCUGCCAAAAAUGAAGUGCCAAGAUUCAUUCAGGCUUUUUAUCAAACAAUUGGAGGGCAUAAAAAAUCUGAAGACAGUGAAUAGUAUGGCAACAUGCAUGUGAUUACCUACAUUCAAGAACAAAACAAAAAGAAGAGGAAUAAAGAUAAAGAUAGAAGAUUGGUCUAAUUAUCACUCAUGUCCUAUAUAACAUGUACACAUUACAAGUUAUCUCACUGCUAAGUCAAUUACGAAUUGUCACUCAUUUGUAAGUCAUAUUGUUAGUGUCUAACAUAUGAAAGUCAUAACCAAGUACUCAUUUGCUUCACAUUACACAGAACAUCUUCAAGAGACUUAAAUAACCCAUGCAUGAAACAACUACCAAUCUACCUACUCUUAACAUGUAGAGGAACAAAGAUAACAGAUUUUGCAUUACACAAAUCAAAAUAGCAAUUCAAUUCAUGUACCUAUAAAAUUUGAAAAUCAAAACACUAUCAAGCACUUAUAUAUUUUAGUCCAUAAACAUUCACCUACAAACUCCAUUUUGCAGCAACUAGCAUAUGGCCUUCCUUCACCAGCAGCAAGCAUAUCUUAUAAAUGAAUAAUGAAUGGACAAGAAAAUCAUUUGCGGCUUGCUUUUAACUUGUGAACAAUUCACUGCUUAACUGCAGGUAAUAAGACAAAUCAAUUCUUUAUUUAGUAACAAGGUUAAGAGUAGAUUUUUACUAAACCAGUUCAAAUAUAUAUUAAUUCAAUACUUCCAAUCAAAAACAGGGGUAAAAAGGCAUGGUGGGUCAUGAAGAAAUGAACUUACGGGAGCAAUAAUAACAAAUUUGGCUUUAUUCUAUAAGCAUCAUAAACUUGGAAUUAGAGAAAUUAAAGAUGUUAGAGUCAUUAAAAAAAAACAUGAAAAGCAUAAGAGAAUUAUAUAGGCAUAAGGGUUCCUAUUAGCAAGGACUUGGGGAUAAUCUUUACAAAAAAUGUAUUUUUUUAAACAUAUAAUGCUUAUGUUUAAGCCCGUGAUUCACUCACUCACGACAAGGGUUUGGGUUUCCUGGGUUAUGAAGGGUUUGUUGGUGGCAGAGAGUGUCGGCAGUGGGUGAGUGAAGAUUUGGGUCUCGAUUUGUGGGUGGGUUUUGGAUAUUUUCAGCAGCUACGGUUUGGAUUGUGUUGACAGGUAAGCAGAAGUUUCAAUUUAGGACUGACUUCAACUCCAGUGCAGUAAAGAGAGACGACUGCGACUCAACGGCGAGCCAGCGCCAAUAAGCUAGGUCUGUCACAGAGAGAGAGAGAGAGAGAGAAAUGCUUGUACUUUGGACUACCGGUGAAUGAAAAUAUGGAAAAAUAAGAAAAAAAACAAAUUCAAAUUAUAAUUAAAUAAAAGAAAAAAUAUAUGGAAGACAAAACCCAUUAGCAUCACACUAUUUGUAGAAUUUCUCAACAUCUGAAAAAAUCCAAAAAAUUAAAUAAAAAAAUUAAUCAUAAGCUAAAUUAAAACAAAUCCAUCAAUUAAAUUGACGAAAAAUAAAAUAUUAAGUCAUUACCAGUUGACAACCCCCUUAGUUCUUUCUCCAAACUUAGCUUGUGAGGGAGAACGAGCUAGAUUACUUGAAUAUGCAACUUAUGGUAGCCACUUCAUCCCUUGUUGGUGGUUAUUACUUGCUUGCCCAGUAGAGGCACUAGAUGUUUAGUUGGAGAAAAAGCCCCUUCUAUAACAAGCAGUUAGGGUUUUGGUUCGUUUUUCAAUUUGGGAAAAUGGAAAAAAGGAAACAAAGUUUUAAUUUUUCAUUAUCUAUUUGGAUUAAUUGAACUUAAUUUGUAAAUAGACAACAGAAAACAGAAGAGAUCGAGAAGAAAACGAAAGAGAAAGAGGAAGAUAAAGGCAAGAUAGCGAUGGAGUUUAAGAACGAUAGCUAGAUG